AAAGACUGUGGAUGGAUCGCUUCCAAUCAAAAUGGGAGGGGGCAUUGAACCUGUGGUGCCUAGCGGAGCCAUGCUAAGGGAACCCAUUAUGCAGGAUUCAGUUGUUUUACCGAGGAACUUGACAGAAAAUGCUGGUGUAAUUACAGAUGCUGGUGAUAAUCCUGCACCGACUACAAAAAUCCAGGAGGAUCACAUGGAGACUGACAAUAAACUAGAAGCUGAAGGAACCAGUAAUGGUUGUCAUAACCAGGAAGGGAGUUCUGUGAGCCGUUCCCCUAUUUCAUCGAAUGAA
This 292-nucleotide unclassified non-coding RNA is filed under the name Hevea brasiliensis (rubber tree). Lineage: Eukaryota; Viridiplantae; Streptophyta; Magnoliopsida; Malpighiales; Euphorbiaceae. The record is from RNAcentral.